Molecule: ribosomal RNA, 497 nt
Filed under: uncultured bacterium
Lineage: Bacteria
Description: partial 16S ribosomal RNA
Rfam family: Bacterial small subunit ribosomal RNA
Source: RNAcentral
GAUGAACGCUGGCGGCGUGCCUAAUACAUGCAAGUCGAGCGAACAGACGAGGAGCUUGCUCCUCUGACGUUAGCGGCGGACGGGUGAGUAACACGUGGAUAACCUACCUAUAAGACUGGGAUAACUUCGGGAAACCGGAGCUAAUACCGGAUAAUAUCUUGAACCGCAUGGUUCAAUAGUGAAAGACGGUUUUGCUGUCACUUAUAGAUGGAUCCGCGCCGCAUUAGCUAGUUGGUAAGGUAACGGCUUACCAAGGCAACGAUGCGUAGCCGACCUGAGAGGGUGAUCGGCCACACUGGAACGGAGACACGGUCCAGACUCCUACGGGAGGCAGCAGUAGGGAAUCUUACGCAAUGGGCGAAAGCCUGACGGAGCAACGCCGCGUGAGUGAUGAAGGUCUUCGGAUCGUAAAACUCUGUUAUUAGGGAAGAACAAAUGUGUAAGUAACUAUGCACGUCUUGACGGUACCUAAUCAGAAAGCCACGGCUAACUACGUG